CCCCUUUCAGGACCGCAACUGGAGAGUUUCCAAUUCUCUACCAGUCUUGGCUACGGGAGGGAGAGUCAAGCAGGGGCCUGUCCAUUCCAUUCCUAGCUUGGCCAGUGGCUAGCAAAUGGAAGGAAAUCUACUACAAGU
Molecule: small nucleolar RNA, 138 nt
Organism: Tachyglossus aculeatus (Australian echidna)
Lineage: Eukaryota; Metazoa; Chordata; Mammalia; Monotremata; Tachyglossidae
Source: RefSeq, a predicted model, not a curated record